RNAcentral lists this ribosomal RNA (1557 nucleotides) under Brachyspira hyodysenteriae. Its description in RNAcentral is "bacterial SSU rRNA". It matches the Rfam family "Bacterial small subunit ribosomal RNA". The record is from RNAcentral. Lineage: Bacteria; Pseudomonadati; Spirochaetota; Spirochaetia; Brachyspirales; Brachyspiraceae.
UCUAUGACCCAAUAGUUACAAUUUGUAACAUUUCUUUAAGUAAGUAAAUCACUAUUCAGUAGAAUAGUAAAAUAAAGAAUCAUUUCAGAUUCACAAAAAGUGAGUAUGGAGAGUUUGAUUCUGGCUCAGAGCGAACGUUGGCGAUGCGUCUUAAGCAUGCAAGUCGAGCGGGCUUAUUCGGGCAACUGGAUAAGUUAGCGGCGAACUGGUGAGUAACACGUAGGUAAUCUGCCGUAGAGUGGGGGAUAACCCAUGGAAACAUGGACUAAUACCACAUAUACUCUUGCUACAUAAGUAGAGUAGAGGAAAGGAGCAAUCCGCUUUACGAUGAGCCUGCGGCCUAUUAGCCUGUUGGUGGGGUAACGGCCUACCAAAGCUACGAUAGGUAGCCGACCUGAGAGGGUGACCGGCCACAUUGGGACUGAGAUACGGCCCAGACUCCUACGGGAGGCAGCAGCUGAGAAUCUUCCACAAUGGACGAAAGUCUGAUGGAGCGACAUCGCGUGAGGGAUGAAGGCCUUCGGGUUGUAAACCUCGGAAAUUAUCGAAGAAUGAGUGACAGUAGAUAAUGUAAGCCUCGGCUAACUACGUGCCAGCAGCCGCGGUAAUACGUAGGAGGCAAACGUUGCUCGGAUUUACUGGGCGUAAAGGGUGAGUAGGCGGACUUAUAAGUCUAAGGUGAAAGACCGAAGCUCAACUUCGGAAACGCCUCGGAUACUGUAAGUCUUGGAUAUUGUAGGGGAUGAUGGAAUUCUCGGUGUAGCGGUGGAAUGCGCAGAUAUCGAGAGGAACACCUAUAGCGAAGGCAGUCAUCUGGGCAUUUAUCGACGCUGAAUCACGAAAGCUAGGGGAGCAAACAGGCUUAGAUACCCUGGUAGUCCUAGCCGUAAACGUUGUACACUAGGUGCUUCUAUUUAAAUAGGAGUGCCGUAGCUAACGUCUUAAGUGUACCGCCUGAGGAGUAUGCCCGCAAGGGUGAAACUCAAAGAAAUUGACGGGUCCCCGCACAAGUGGUGGAGCAUGUGGUUUAAUUCGAUGAUACGCGAAAAACCUUACCUGGGUUUGAAUUGUAAGAUGAAUGAUUUAGAGAUAAGUCAGACCGCAAGGACGUUUUACAUAGGUGCUGCAUGGCUGUCGUCAGCUCGUGUCGUGAGAUGUUGGGUUAAGUCCCGCAACGAGCGCAACCCUCACCCUUUGUUGCUACCGAGUAAUGUCGGGCACUCUUAGGGGACUGCCUACGUUCAAGUAGGAGGAAGGUGGGGAUGAUGUCAAGUCCUCAUGGCCCUUAUGUCCAGGGCUACACACGUGCUACAAUGGCAAGUACAAAGAGAAGCAAGACCGCGAGGUGGAGCAAAACUCAAAAAAGUUGCCUCAGUUCGGAUUGGAGUCUGAAACUCGACUCCAUGAAGUUGGAAUCACUAGUAAUCGUAGAUCAGAACGCUACGGUGAAUACGUUCCCGGGGAUUGUACACACCGCCCGUCACGCCAUCGGAGUUGGUUUUACCUGAAGUCGUUAGCCUAACCGCAAGGGGGGCGGCGCCGAAGGUGGGACUGAUG